Polypterus senegalus (gray bichir) is the source of this 4705-nucleotide long non-coding RNA. RefSeq lists it as uncharacterized. The record is from RefSeq and is a predicted model, not a curated record. Lineage: Eukaryota; Metazoa; Chordata; Cladistia; Polypteriformes; Polypteridae. The transcript has 3 exons.
AACUCCGUUUUGUCCACAGCAGUUUCUGUAAAAAUCGGAGCGCAGACACCGUGACACGCUCGUUUAGCGCCAGAGAUACCGAUACAUUAAAAAAAAAAAAAUGUACGAUGCACCACAAAUUCUGCGUUACUACUAAUCUGACUUUAAUUUGACUCUUCGAACGGUUGCCUGGAUAGCGGGAGCCGUCUGGUUUGACUUUUGCUUCAAUAAAUCACAAACAACACAAACGCUCCUUCUCGGCCUACUUACCCAGACGGAAUGCUGCGGCGUUAACGUACUUUUCGGUUCUUUACUUUCUUUGUCCUCUUUAUAGUCCUUUCAUUUUGCUCUGUAAGUUUCUUUCCCCUUCUUUGACAUUCUCCCAUAUAGUUUGUCGCACCGAACGCCAUCAUCGGUCCAAAUGCCUUGCAGCCACUUUUUUGCGCGAAACUAAAGUCCAGCGUUUGAAAACUCCGCCGCGAGAAGACACUUACUGCUUGGGGAAGGAUGUGAUUUGGAAUACAUUUUUGACUGUAAAAGUUGCUACAACCUUCUGGGCAGAAGUCUGUAUUUGACGAAAAGCCAAGUUGAGAUCCUAGCCAUUAAGACGCCAUCUUGAAAGUUCGUUUUCCCCACCAUCCCCGAGCUUGUGAGUGAUAACGCGGUCACUGAUUGGUUUCAGCUCUUGCCCCGCCCUUCCAUCGCGGGCUCUGGUUGGUGUAUGCUUGUGCCAUCGUGUUGGUGACGUACUUGGCCUUGACACGCAUGGUUUUGGGCGCCUUUUCUUAUUUGCGUUUGCCGGUACGGAUUUAUGUUUUUAUUUUGUGGAAGACGCGCACACGUUCGCAUGCAGCGGAUCAAUAAAAUACAGUGGACUGGUGACCAAGGAUAUGGACUUGCUGAAGGUGUUCUUCGUGCUCGGGUAACGUCUCUAUCCGUAAGGCAGCGUUGUGUGUAAUAAUGAGCAAAGAAGUCUGAAGAACACUGAGGAGAAAAUGAAAACCUCGAAAUUCUAGAAAGCAGGAAAAAGGAAUAGCAAAGGCCGCAGCGUUGUGAAAAGCAGAACAAGAGCUGGCACUGCAGGGGCUUUCUGCCUUUUUGUCAGCUAUGUGGAAACCACUGUUUUAUGUCUAGAAAAUGCCUCAGAACAGCACUGCGGUCGCUACAGAAAAGGCACCAUAUAACAUCAGUGAGUGUGGCUCCAGUCAGUCUGCAAGGUCCCACAAACCUGAAGCGUCAACGUCUACAUGUAGACGGGGAUUUUCAGUCAUUUCCCCAUUUUUAGGACCUGGACUAGCUGAAGCCUGCCAAGUAGACCUUACGGUCAGACGGCCUGGGGUGAGACCUGUUUCUUGGCACACUAGAGAAGGCCCUGGUCUGGUUUGUGCAUCUUUCUCGAAGCCUCAUACCCUUGUAAUAUUUUUUUGGUGCACUCAUUCAUUGCACAUAGAAGUGGGCAGCAUGACCAAAAAUUUUAUAUUGUGGUGUUAUUAAAACUUCUGACAGUUUCUGUACCACUAUAAUGUAUUUAUAAAUACUUUUCAAUCUGAAAUAUUUUUUUAAACGAGUACUACUGAUUCAUGUUGCACACUAGUAUGCCUCUUAUCCAUGUGAACACUUCUUAACAUUCUGCUACUCAAGUAGAUUUGAUUGCAGAUAACCCACUGAACUAAUAGUAAGUAUGUGUCUUUCACACAUGUUCAAUCGUGUCACUGCUGCCAAGCAAACUAUCAUAAAACUUGGCUAUUUUGUGUUCUUCCGUCCUGUUUCCAUCACCUCAUGGAUCAGGUUGAUCCACACAUCACUCUGGGUAGUAUUUUUAAGGGCUAGGCUCACUCAUCACACUGAGUUCACAUACAAGUUCAUACACAAAAAAAUACCUUUACAAAACUCCUGACCAACCCAAAAUUACAUUUUUCACUUCCUUUUGCAUACAGUGUUUUCCCCUAAAUCUUGGCACACCAGUAAACCAUUUAUUAUGAAAUCCAUGCCAAAAGUAAAAUUUCAUCUGGUGUACCCGAUCAGCUGCUAUAUCACCCUCUCCUAGCACACACAGUCAUCAACAAAAAUGGCGUCCUCCCGCACAAGUGUGCAUAUGAAAUAUGAACUGGCCCAAUGACUUUGAAUUAUUAAUCAAUGCGCUUCACUUGUGAGAUUUAUUAGUGGGGUGUUUACAGUCGUAUGGUGCUGUGUGUUCCUGUGCUUUAAUGUUCUUAUUAAUAUGAACCUGUCUAAUAGGAUAGGAGGAAUAAACGGAGUUGAAUUGUACAGACCGAUAUCAUAGGCAAUAGAUGGGCCAACAGAUAUGAGAGGCGCUACGUGAAAUGUACAUGCAAAUACAGCUUAGUGCCAUCUGCGUUUGAAUGCCGCAGUAGACAGUCAUCCAAGUUGUGUUCUAAGUUUUUGUAGGUAAGGAAGACCGACGCCCCAAACCAAAGUCAGAAUUUCACUGUGCUCUGUGCACAUAACAAUAAUUACCCUAUAAACCCUACCUAGCAAUUCAAAGCACAAGACUGUUGGGCAAAAGCUUGCUGUAAUGGGAGAUCACAUUUCCUUGGAUAUCUGUUGUUUCUGGAAAUGCAUCAGAGUUGUUAUUCACCUUCAAUGACCUUACUUUAAAGAUAGCCUCUGACUUCAUAAUAGUGGGACUGCGUGCACGAAAAUGCCUCAUCGAUUUAAAUAACUAAUAUUUGUAUGAACAAUAAAUGAAGUUUUUUUUUUUUUUUUAAAGUAUAUUUUACACCUUUUCGUGCAGUCCCUAAUUUAUGACAACAGAAGCAAACGUUAAAGCUGAUUGGAUGAAGGCAACUGUCUCUCCUAGAGUGACAACUUCUUCUAAGGCGGUCAGAGACUCUGCCAGAGCCCACACUGUAAGAAUACAGAGCUGAGUAUACUGAACCUGAAAAGUCCUUUGUGGUCGUGUUUUUAUUAGAAAAAAGGCACUUUCUAAAUUCAAAAUAAAAAUGUAGCUCAUUACUCACUAAAGUUUUGGAUUGCUGUCAUCUGUGUUCAUGCUCCACUACAUUUGCAAAGUACAUUAAUGUGAUGUUCCGUAAGGUAAGUUGCUGUAUAAAAGGUCUUAGUCAGACUACCUGCAUUGACACAAGUGCUGGACUAUAUAGCGGUCCCCUAAUUGCACAUUGUAGACAUGUUUCAGCAGCUACGGCUGUAAAUUAGGGAAACGCAGUGGGGGUGUUGAUUAAUGCUUUUGUUUUGUUUUUUUUUUUUUUUGGCUCUCGGAUUUUUCUCACACAUUUCAAAAGUGGGUCAGUGGCGUUAUUUUGGCUCUUUAUGGUUGUGCUCAUGGAGGGGGGACUUUGAUGGCCUGGUAUCAUGUCAUGUGUUUCCUGUCUUACACUUGAUGCUUCCAAAAUAGGCUGCAGCCCCCCAUGGUUUAAGCAAUCUUGGGAAUUUUGUUAUAAACAUUUAAAUUACCUUUCAACAUUAACUACUGCCACUUGAGUAUCAUGACCACUACAGAAAGGUGAUGUGUACAAGUUAUAUUUUGUUAUUCUCUCCCCUAGUGAUUAAAGGCUGGACUGCAAAGCAGAUGCCUACUAAUUCAGUCCCUUGCCCAUUGCUCCCUGUGUAUCCCAUAGUGAGCCAGUUGUUUAACAGAGCAUUUUAAAUGAUCAUUCAUUCAUUUAUUCAGUCAUUCUCCAAACCCGCUACAUCCUGAGCAGGGUCGCAGGGGAAGCUGAAGUCUAUCCUAGAAAGCAUUGCGUAUAAGGCAGGAAUAAUUCCUGGACAAGGCAACAGUCCAUUGUAGGAUGAAUACACAGGCCCACACACUAAGGCCAAUUGAGUAUUGUCAAUCCACCUAACUUGCAUGAAUUUCGACUCUAGGAGGAAACUGGUGCACCUGGAGAAAACCCAUAUAGAAACAGGAUAAACAUGCAAAAUCCAUGCAGGGAGGACCCAGGACCUUCACUUCCGCCAUCUUGGUGUGAGGCAGCAGUGCUACUGUCCCAUCAUUUAAAUGAUAUUUAAGCUCUUGUGAUAUGGUUCAAUAUCAUGACGGUAUUAUGUUUUUGGUACACUGUGUUAAUCCCCAAGGGGAGACUGUUUAUUCGCAUGACCUUUGGGGGUCAGAAUGCAGGGUCAGCCAUUGUACAGUGCUCCUGGAGCAAUACUAAACCAAAUUAAAGCAAAGGAGCCCCUGCAUGUGAAAAUGUUGAAUAUUGACUCUAUAUGUGCUGCUAUAGUUGUAAAUGAAUGAUCUGGCGCUCGCUAUUGUAAGCUGCUAUAUAAAAGUUAUCAGUCACUGUAGUGUGCCCCUUAGUGGCUAAAAUAUUGUAGUAUUAAGCAGAAGCUUGCUGGUACAGUUGUCAUCACUGAUUCAGAGAGCGACGUGUGGUUGGUCAGUUCACCUGCCAGGGAUAUUAUUGUAAGCAAUAUUUUAAACAAAUGUAACUGUGAGUUGUUUUCGCUACAUUGUGGAAAGGUAUAAUAUUAAAACUAGUAAUUUGUAUUGAAACAAUUUGGUCCCCAUUACCUAAAAUACUGAUUUGUUAAAAGAGCACUGGUUUGGUUCACUGCAUAAAGGUGCCCUAUAAGAAAUGAUUACUUAGUUUGCCCCCUAGUGGCUAAAGACUGAAGUGUAAGGCUGAUUCAGUCCUCAUCCAUUACUUGUGUAUCCUUGAGCAUGUCACUUCACCUGCCACUGCUGAGAUUGUUAAAAUAAUAUAGAAAUGAAUGUACUGUCACAGUAAAUGCUCUUGGGAUA